UACGUAGGGCGCAAGCGUUGUCCGGAAUUAUUGGGCGUAAAGGGCUCGUAGGCGGCCAACUAAGUCGGAUGUGAAAUCCCCAGGCUUAACCUGGGAACUGCAUCCGAUACUGGAUGGCUUGAAUCCGGGAGAGGGAUGCAGAAUUCCAGGUGUAGCGGUGAAAUGCGUAGAUAUCUGGAGGAAUACCGGUGGCGAAGGCGGCAUCCUGGACCGGCAUUGACGCUGAGGAGCGAAAGCUAGGGGAGCAAACGGG
RNAcentral lists this ribosomal RNA (253 nucleotides) under uncultured bacterium. Its description in RNAcentral is "partial 16S ribosomal RNA". It matches the Rfam family "Bacterial small subunit ribosomal RNA", at positions 524 to 776 of the family's 1533-position model. The record is from RNAcentral.